CUCUUCCAAAUAGAUUGGUUCAUCAUUAGAGGCGAAGAAAGAUCCAUUUAGAGCGACGGUCGUUAACUGAGUACGCGCCGUCGGUCUGGGAUUUCGGGUCUCUAGACGUUCCCAGGUUUCCGUUGCUGAAAAAGAUUUGAGUAAUUUAAUUACUGAAGUGAAACCGCCAGACUUCAUCGGAUAAGUUGCCCUGCUUUUCGCCACCCAUUACGAGCAUGUGAGAGCGGACUCUCACCGCCGAGUGUCCGUGAAGUGGUCCUGGACCCAACGGCUUACAUUUGACCGAACUCCAUCUCAUGGUCUAGUCUCCACAAAUCCGAUCUUUCAACCAAAUCUGUCAUUCCACCAUAGACCCACAUUGCUUGAUCAAAAACCACGGCUGUGUGACUGUGUCUUCCAGGUGGAAUCACUUCAGAUGACUUAGAUGCUUUAUUGCCAUGAAUCAUUUUCCACGAAAAGAGAAUUGCCAUAGUUCUCCGAGUGAUCCUCGCAUAUCUUGAUAUCCUCCAUAAACGAGCAUACGAUCCUCAUAGACGACAGCUGUAUGACCUUUCCUGGAAAUAGGAGCACAGCUUUUGCUUGACUGCCAUUUGCUCCAAGUGUUAUUCUAAUAAAUGAAAAGGUAUGGAAACAGACGUUCAGACGGACGAAGCUUGUCGUUAAAACUGAAAGCUUUUGAUGGUGGCUACCUUCGCCCGGAUUGAAAGCGUCGGAUCGGACGUAAUGCGCGCGCAUCAGCUUUUCUUUUUCACCCCUGUGCCCCCCAUCCCCCUCCACAAAAGUCUUCACCCUCUAUCAUCCAUAUUUGGAAAACCGAAAUUUAAAUCACCCGGAGCAACGUUGGCGCAGCCAUGUGCAAAUAAUGCGCUGAUACAUAAUUACGUACACAGUGCUAACUUUGAAGCGAAACUGUUUGGUUGGAGGCAAAUCGGACGAAGGAGUAAAAAGCGAUGCCAGGUAAUAUAAAGGGCUGUUUGUUAGAAGAGAGACUUUUCAAGGUGUUGGGAUGUGACAGUCUCAAUUCUGCUGAAAUGCCGUGUCACGUAAGAACACAAAACGUAGUCUUAUGUAAAUGUAUGCGUCCCUGUAAAUUUACCGCCUUGAAUAAAUUAGCAUAUGGCGGUUGAUGUGUACGAUAGUGAGUCUAGUUGCAAUCCGCAUCGCCCAGUCAGUUACAAUGGACUAUGUAGCCCAUCAAUCAAUUUUAACGUCCUUCUAGGACAGGAAGCAAAAAUUGCUUUUCUUUUUAAACUGUUCUUUAAAUUCAGGCUUGACUUAACCCAGUCGAAAAAGUAGGAAGAUGUCCUUUUAGAGAGGACGAGGAUUCUGGUUAGAAAAUUAUUUCCUCAUGCAAUCAUAAACUGAUUUUGUUGUUUCUUAAAAUAAUUUUUUUAUUACCGUUUUAACCGUUCUUGUUUCACAUAUAGCUAUAUGGUUGUUUGGUUGGGCGCUUUUUCCUAAGUGUAAACUAAACACGCUAGAUGUCUUUAUUG
This is a long non-coding RNA of Daphnia carinata, 1493 nucleotides long. RefSeq lists it as uncharacterized. Lineage: Eukaryota; Metazoa; Arthropoda; Branchiopoda; Diplostraca; Daphniidae. The transcript is spliced from 6 exons. The record is from RefSeq and is a predicted model, not a curated record.